Molecule: ribosomal RNA, 402 nt
Filed under: uncultured Campylobacterota bacterium
Lineage: Bacteria; Pseudomonadati; Campylobacterota
Description: bacterial SSU rRNA
Rfam family: Bacterial small subunit ribosomal RNA
Source: RNAcentral
UGGGGAAUAUUGCACAAUGGACGAAAGUCUGAUGCAGCAACGCCGCGUGGAGGAUGACACAUUUCGGUGCGUAAACUCCUUUUAUAUAGGAAGAUAAUGACGGUACUAUAUGAAUAAGCACCGGCUAACUCCGUGCCAGCAGCCGCGGUAAUACGGAGGGUGCAAGCGUUACUCGGAAUCACUGGGCGUAAAGAGCGUGUAGGCGGAUAGUUAAGUUUGAAGUGAAAUCCAAUGGCUCAACCAUUGAACUGCUUUGAAAACUGAUUAUCUAGAAUAUGGGAGAGGUAGAUGGAAUUUCUGGUGUAGGGGUAAAAUCCGUAGAGAUCAGAAGGAAUACCGAUUGCGAAGGCGAUCUACUGGAACAUUAUUGACGCUGAGACGCGAAAGCGUGGGGAGCAAACA